RNAcentral lists this long non-coding RNA (1121 nucleotides) under Polistes fuscatus (common paper wasp). RNAcentral describes it as "uncharacterized LOC122524856". Lineage: Eukaryota; Metazoa; Arthropoda; Insecta; Hymenoptera; Vespidae. The record is from RNAcentral.
GUAUGUUAUUUUGUUUUAUUUGUUUUAAUUCAUUUGAACAUAAUCGAUCGGAUUGGAUAUUUCGGAAAAAUUGUUGAAUCACUCAAAGGUAUAAUAACGAGAGAGAAUGCCUUAAUAUAACUUCGAGGUAGCCAGAGAACACUUUUAAACGAAGUUUCUUUCGGCGUUGGACGGUUUCGAAUUUUGCAACGACGGUGGUGGAAUCGGAGCUACCAAUCCUGGAGCAGAGAUUACACGGGUAAGGUGCGAGUUAUCGAAUCGAGUGGGGCGGAGCUCAAACGACGACGUUUUGGUUCCUGGAGGAAUUUCGGGAUCUUCGAUUGCGGAUCCUUUUCUAAGCGAAUCCAGUCUACGAUCGGACGUAAAGACGCGUGGAACGAAUUCAUCCCUGCUUUUUCAUAUUAUUUUUUAUAUCAGGAGGGAAAGCUUUUUUUUUUGAUAAUUGAUCUACUCGAUCGACCGUUAUCGGUCUCACGUACGUUGUUGAUUUGGAGAGUGAAUUGAAUAAAAGACAAAAUCGAAGAUGCCACAGGCGGCUCACGAAACGAAAAACAUUCUUACCACUUACUUGAUCCUCAUUUUACUUUUGAUCUCAUUAUGGUUACUUUACUCGGGGAUAUUUUAAUCCCUUACAAUUAAUUUUUUUUUCUCAUAAUGGGUUGAAGCAUGAAAGACGAAUAAUGCGAGUUUCUCGAAGACUGGAAAACUUUCUUCGUUGAUAUAAAUUGAAAUUGAGAAUUGAAGCAUCAAUUAAACGUUUCCGGAUUCUUCUUGAUCUCGCUGUCGGAAUACGAUCACCGAUUUGCAAUCACGCAAUAUUUAAUUUAAGUUUUAAUUAAGUUUUAAUAAUCGAAACGAAAUAAUGUCAAGGAAAAGAAAAAAAAAAUAGAUUUUUAAUUAAUUCUAUACGGAAGACGCGUGGAAGUGAGUGAAAUUAUUAUAAUUAGAAUGUAAUAUAUAUUUCUAUGAUUGUGCCAAUUUAUAGAAAGUGUGAAACAUUAAUAAAUGUUCAAGAUGAAAACAUGUAGGUGCGCGCUCGUGUGUAUGUACGAUCGAAUGAAUGUCAAUACAUGUUCGUAACGCGUUAAUGUAUUCAAUGUUUAAAAAAGUGUAUGUGAAAA